GGAUAACCUACCCUUAGGACCGGGAUAACCCUGGGAAACUGGGGCUAAUACUGGAUAGGCAAUUAUUCCUGCAAUGGUUUUUUGUUUAAAUGUUUUUUCGCCUAAGGAUGGGUCUGCGGCCGAUUAGGUAGUUGGUUAGGUAAUGGCUUACCAAGCCGUUGAUCGGUACGGGUUGUGAGAGCAAGAGCCCGGAGAUGGAACCUGAGACAAGGUUCCAGGCCCUACGGGGUGCAGCAGGCGCGAAACCUCCGCAAUGUGAGAAAUCGCGACGGGGGGAUCCCAAGUGCCAUUCUUAACGGGAUGGCUUUUCAUUAGUGUAAAGAGCUUUUGGAAUAAGAGCUGGGCAAGACCGGUGCCAGCCGCCGCGGUAACACCGGCAGCUCUAGUGGUAACAAUUUUUAUUGGGCCUAAAGCGUCCGUAGCCGGUUUAAUAAGUCUCUGGUGAAAUCCUGUAGCUUAACUGUGGGAAUUGCUGGAGAUACUAUUAGACUUGAGACCGGGAGAGGUUAGAGGUACUCCCAGGGUAGAGGUGAAAUUCUGUAAUCCUGGGAGGACCGCCUGUUGCGAAGGCGUCUAACUGGAACGGUUCUGACGGUGAGGGACGAAAGUUAGGGGCGC
Molecule: ribosomal RNA, 618 nt
Filed under: uncultured archaeon
Lineage: Archaea
Description: bacterial SSU rRNA
Rfam family: Archaeal small subunit ribosomal RNA
Source: RNAcentral